AGUGAACGCUGGCGGCAGGCCUAACACAUGCAAGUCGAGCGGCAGCGCGGGGGCAACCCUGGCGGCGAGCGGCGGACGGGUGAGGAAUUCGUCGGAAUCUGCCUUUUUGUGGGGGAUAACGUAGGGAAACUUACGCUAAUACCGCAUACGUCCUACGGGAGAAAGUGGGGGACCGCAAGGCCUCACGCAGAAAGAUGAGCCGACGACCGAUUAGCUAGUUGGUGGGGUAAAGGCCCACCAAGGCGACGAUCGGUAGCUGGUCUGAGAGGAUGAUCAGCCACACUGGGACUGAGACAUGGCCCAGACUCCUACGGGAGGCAGCAGUGGGGAAUAUUGGACAAUGGGCGCAAGCCUGAUCCAGCCAUGCCGCGUGUGUGAAGAAGGCCUUCGGGUUGUAAAGCACUUUUGUCCGGAAAGAAAUCCCUGGAGCUAAUACCUUCGGGGGAUGACGGUACCGGAAGAAUAAGCACCGGCUAACUUCGUG
This 484-nucleotide ribosomal RNA is filed under the name uncultured bacterium. RNAcentral describes it as "partial 16S ribosomal RNA". It matches the Rfam family "Bacterial small subunit ribosomal RNA", at positions 29 to 507 of the family's 1533-position model. The record is from RNAcentral.